CUACGGGAUGCAGCAGUGAGGAAUAUUGCACAAUGGGGGGAACCCUGAUGCAGCAACGCCGCGUGGAGGAUGACGCAUUUCGGUGUGUAAACUCCUUUUAUAUGUCAAGAAAAUGACGGUAGCAUAUGAAUAAGCACCGGCUAACUCCGUGCCAGCAGCCGCGGUAAUACGGAGGGUGCAAGCGUUACUCGGAAUCACUGGGCGUAAAGGACGCGUAGGCGGGUUUGAAAGUCAGGUGUGAAAUCCUACAGCUUAACUGUAGAACUGCACUUGAAACUUCUAAUCUAGAGUAUGGGAGGGGGAGAUGGAAUUAGUGGUGUAGGGGUAAAAUCCGUAGAUAUCACUAGGAAUACCUAAAGCGAAGGCGAUCUCCUGGAACAUUACUGACGCUAAGGCGUGAAAGCGUGGGGAGCAAACAAGAUUAGAUACCCUGGUAGUC
Molecule: ribosomal RNA, 439 nt
Filed under: uncultured bacterium
Lineage: Bacteria
Description: partial 16S ribosomal RNA
Rfam family: Bacterial small subunit ribosomal RNA
Source: RNAcentral